RNAcentral lists this unclassified non-coding RNA (320 nucleotides) under plant metagenome. Its description in RNAcentral is "partial contains 5.8S ribosomal RNA, internal transcribed spacer 2, and large subunit ribosomal RNA". The stretch from base 1 to 105 matches the Rfam family "5.8S ribosomal RNA", at positions 50 to 154 of the family's 154-position model. The record is from RNAcentral.
GAAAUGCGAUAAGUAAUGUGAAUUGCAGAAUUCAGUGAAUCAUCGAAUCUUUGAACGCACAUUGCGCCCGCCAGUAUUCUGGCGGGCAUGCCUGUCCGAGCGUCAUUACAACCCUCAGGCCCCCGGGCCUGGCGUUGGGGAUCGGCGGAAGCCCCCUGCGGGCACAACGCCGUCCCCCAAAUACAGUGGCGGUCCCGCCGCAGCUUCCAUUGCGUAGUAGCUAACACCUCGCAACUGGAGAGCGGCGCGGCCACGCCGUAAAACACCCAACUUCUGAAUGUUGACCUCGAAUCAGGUAGGAAUACCCGCUGAACUUAAGC